CCUACGGGAGGCAGCAGUGGGGAAUAUUGCACAAUGGGGGAAACCCUGAUGCAGCAACGCCGCGUGAAGGAAGACGGUUUUCGGAUUGUAAACUUCUGUUCUCAGUGAAGAAUAAUGACGGUAGCUAAGGACCAAGCCACGGCUAACUACGUGCCAGCAGCCGCGGUAAUACGUAGGUGGCAAGCGUUGUCCGGAAUUACUGGGUGUAAAGGGAGCGCAGGCGGGAAGCCAAGUCAGCUGUGAAAACUACGGGCUUAACUUGGAGACUGCAGUUGAAACUGGUUUUCUGGAGUGAGGUAGAGGAUGGCGGAAUUCCAGGUGUAGGAGUGAAAUGCGUAGAUAUUCGGAGGAACACCAGUGGCGAAGGCGACCAACUGGGCUAUAACUGACGCUGAGGCUCGAAAGUGUGGGGAGCAAACAGGAUUAGAUACCCGAGUAGUC
Molecule: ribosomal RNA, 441 nt
Filed under: uncultured bacterium
Lineage: Bacteria
Description: partial 16S ribosomal RNA
Rfam family: Bacterial small subunit ribosomal RNA
Source: RNAcentral